GGUGUAGCUUUCUCUUAGAUUUCACAGACUCUCUUGAGAACUAAGAAGAAUGGAGAGGAAGAGGAGGAAGAAGGCUAGGUGUAAGAAAACUAUUUUCUCAUAUAUUCUCUUCAUAGGCGUCCAACUAUUGGACACCUUUUAUAGGGGGCAUUGGAUUAGGGUUAGAGGGAUGCACCACCAAUUUCCACGCCACAAAAUAUGGCAUCUCAAAUUUUUCACGCCAAGAGGAGUGCCAUGAAAAAGAAAUCAGAUAUGAUUCUUUCUCACAUGCACUUUUUUCUCAAUG
This 286-nucleotide long non-coding RNA is filed under the name Elaeis guineensis (African oil palm). RNAcentral describes it as "long non-coding RNA (EGUI_LNC061739)". The record is from RNAcentral. Lineage: Eukaryota; Viridiplantae; Streptophyta; Magnoliopsida; Arecales; Arecaceae.